UACGUAGGGGGCAAGCGUUGUCCGGAUUUAUUGGGCGUAAAAAGCGUGUAGGCGGCCACACAGGUCAGCUGUGAAAACUCGAGGCUCAACCUCGAGACGUCGGUUGAAACCGUAUGGCUAGAGUCCGGAAGAGGAGAGUGGAAUUCCCGGUGUAGCGGUGAAAUGCGCAGAUAUCGGGAAGAACACCCGUGGCGAAGGCGGCUCUCUGGGACGGUACUGACGCUGAGACGCGAAAGCGUGGGGAGCGAACAGG
Molecule: ribosomal RNA, 253 nt
Filed under: uncultured bacterium
Lineage: Bacteria
Description: partial 16S ribosomal RNA
Rfam family: Bacterial small subunit ribosomal RNA
Source: RNAcentral